Molecule: ribosomal RNA, 1038 nt
Filed under: Triticum aestivum (bread wheat)
Lineage: Eukaryota; Viridiplantae; Streptophyta; Magnoliopsida; Poales; Poaceae
Description: partial small subunit ribosomal RNA
Source: RNAcentral
AUGAAGGGGCUGACUGAAGCAACUCCAGAAAAUGAAACCAAUAGAGAAAUGGGACCACCGCCUUUGACUUCAAACAACCCGCCUUCAAUCUCAACUCGAGAAAGUAAUAUUCCAGAUUCUGCUCGUGGUCAACUGAGGGAAGGUGAUAUUCAACCUGAUCCUGGUCUUAGGAAACCUAUUAAAAGCUUAGAUCCGGACAUUAGAGAUGUCGCUAGAAGGAUAUUUCUUCUAUUACAAGAUCUUCCUUUUCGUGGUCAUGAUUGGAGCUCAAGCUCAAAGAAUAGGGGGAAUUUUUUGGAGAUGAUGAGUUGGUACAGGGAGAAGGAUUCAAAUGCUAAGACUUUGCUUGAUAGUGCAUGCGGGAACCAUUUGAUGACUUCACAUGGGAUACAAUUGCAACUAUGUCAAGCUUGUGCAGAAGAGACCACCAAAGCAAUUAUUGAUGAUAUUGGAAAUAGAAAAUUUUCUUUACUUGUUGAUGAGUCCAGAGAUGCAUCAAUAAAGGAUCAAAUGGCUAUGGUUUUAAGGUAUGUUGAUAAACAUGGGUAUGCGAUUGAGAGGUUCAUUGGGAUUAAGCAUGCUGGUGACACAAGGACAGCUUCUCUAAAAUUAGUGGUUGUUGCUGCUGCCAAGUGUUGUUCCUCUGUAUUGGAUUUCUUUAACCACAUAACUUUGAUUGUCAACAUCGUCAAUGCUUCUUGUAAAAGAGAUGAUGAAGAGGUGUUUUUACAAGAACAACAUGAUAAUAUUGAGUUGGCAUUGAUUUUGCUUGUUGCAACCGCAUCAGUGGAAAGAGCUUUCUCAGCUAUGAGUAUUAUCAAGACUGAGUUGAGGAAUAAGAUGGGUGAUGAUUGGUUGAAUUAUUCCAUGGUGUCAAAUAUUGAGCAAGAAAUAUUUGCAAAGGUUGAUGAUGAUGCUAUUAUAUAUCGCUUUCAAGGCUAUAGAUUUCGCAAAGGAACUUUACCUCGUCGUAGUAGUGUUGGCUCUUCUUCCACCGUUGAUCAAGUUAUGGAAGACACUGAUGAAGCAAACAAUUGA